Pelobates cultripes (western spadefoot toad) is the source of this 248-nucleotide non-coding RNA. Lineage: Eukaryota; Metazoa; Chordata; Amphibia; Anura; Pelobatidae. The record is from the annotation of a GenBank genome assembly.
CUGCUGGCAGGCUGGCUCCCUCCCUCUCUCCCCCGGCGGCCGCACUAUCCUGCAUGUGGGCCGGUGAGGGAGAUCUCUGAUCUCCCCACCGGCCCGCUGUAGACUACUGCAGGGCCGGCGUUCAGAUAGCGCCGGCCCUGCAAAGACCGGCAGGAGAGAUCCUGUGAUCUCCCUGCCGGCCUCGGCCCCACGGCCACCGCGGCCCACCGGGCAUUUGCCCGGUGUGCCCGAUGGCCAGUCCGGGCCUG